ACAAAUUGUAGAGGCGCAGGUCCGAUAAGUACUUUUUCUGAGUGGAAAACGAUGAGGAAAAGAGAAAGGCGUAUCUGCCGAAAUCAAUUAAGCGUCAUCUUAGUUGGUUGGGGUCGUUAUCGAAAGGGACGACACUGUCGUAAUACUUAUUUAAAUGAAAAAUGUUUGAAUAAGAUUGCGGAGUGCUACUGUAAGU
This is a non-coding RNA of Actinobacillus minor NM305, 196 nucleotides long. The record is from Rfam. Lineage: Bacteria; Pseudomonadati; Pseudomonadota; Gammaproteobacteria; Pasteurellales; Pasteurellaceae.